CCACUUGGACCCUUAAUACCUCUUAUUUAUUUAUGGUUUUAACCCACUGAUUCUAGCCCGAUUCCAAUUUCAUCCUUGGUUCUGUAAAUAUUUAUUUUUGAUUUUUUCUUUUAAAUUGUUUUUGUCUAUUAUCAUUAGUUUUUCUUAUUUGUCUUAAUUUCAUCUUUAUUUGUUUUUUUUAUCGUAUAGCUAUAUUUUUCUUUUCUU
This 207-nucleotide long non-coding RNA is filed under the name Gossypium raimondii (Peruvian cotton). Its description in RNAcentral is "long non-coding RNA (GRAI_LNC003929)". Lineage: Eukaryota; Viridiplantae; Streptophyta; Magnoliopsida; Malvales; Malvaceae. The record is from RNAcentral.